UACGGAGGAUGCAAGCGUUAUCCGGAAUGAUUGGGCGUAAAGCGUCUGUAGGUGGUUUUUAAAGUCUUCUGUCAAAGAUCAGGGCUUAACCCUGGGUCGGCAGAAGAAACUUAAAAGCUGGAGUCUGGUAGGGGCAGAGGGAAUUCCCGGUGUAGCGGUGAAAUGCGUAGAGAUCGGGAAGAACACCAAUGGCGAAGGCACUCUGCUGGGCCACGACUGACACUGAGAGACGAAAGCUAGGGGAGCAAACGGG
RNAcentral lists this ribosomal RNA (253 nucleotides) under uncultured bacterium. Its description in RNAcentral is "partial 16S ribosomal RNA". It matches the Rfam family "Bacterial small subunit ribosomal RNA", at positions 524 to 776 of the family's 1533-position model. The record is from RNAcentral.